This 114-nucleotide ribosomal RNA is filed under the name Escherichia coli. The record is from RNAcentral. Lineage: Bacteria; Pseudomonadati; Pseudomonadota; Gammaproteobacteria; Enterobacterales; Enterobacteriaceae.
CCUGGCGGCCUUAGCGCGGUGGUCCCACCUGACCCCAUGCCGAACUCAGAAGUGAAACGCCGUAGCGCCGAUGAUAGUGUGGGGUCUCCCCAUGCGAGAGUAGGGAACUGCCAG